RNAcentral lists this ribosomal RNA (549 nucleotides) under uncultured Bacillus sp. RNAcentral's name for it is "bacterial SSU rRNA". It matches the Rfam family "Bacterial small subunit ribosomal RNA", at positions 354 to 894 of the family's 1533-position model. Lineage: Bacteria; Bacillati; Bacillota; Bacilli; Caryophanales; Bacillaceae. The record is from RNAcentral.
GUAGGGAAUCUUCGGCAAUGGACGAAAGUCUGACCGAGCAACGCCGCGUGAGUGAAGAAGGUUUUCGGAUCGUAAAACUCUGUUGUUAAGGAAGAACAAGUACGAGAGUAACUGCUCGUACCUUGACGGUACUUAACCAGAAAGCCACGGCUAACUACGUGCCAGCAGCCGCGGUAAUACGUAGGUGGCAAGCGUUGUCCGGAAUUAUUGGGCGUAAAGCGCGCGCAGGCGGUUCCUUAAGUCUGAUGUGAAAGCCCACGGCUCAACCGUGGAGGGUCAUUGGAAACUGGGGAACUUGAGUGCAGAAGAGGAGAGUGGAAUUCCACGUGUAGCGGUGAAAUGCGUAGAGAUGUGGAGGAACACCAGUGGCGAAGGCGACUCUCUGGUCUGUAACUGACGCUGAGGCGCGAAAGCGUGGGGAGCGAACAGGAUUAGAUACCCUGGUAGUCCACGCCGUAAACGAUGAGUGCUAAGUGUUAGAGGGUUUCCGCCCUUUAGUGCUGCAGCAAACGCAUUAAGCACUCCGCCUGGGGAGUACGGUCGCAAGAC